CACUUUUCCACAUUUGUUUUAA
Molecule: small nuclear RNA, 22 nt
Filed under: Arabidopsis thaliana (thale cress)
Lineage: Eukaryota; Viridiplantae; Streptophyta; Magnoliopsida; Brassicales; Brassicaceae
Description: snRNA_16558
Source: RNAcentral